UCCGAUGCGAAGGCAGCUACUGGACUGUAACUGACGCUGAUGCUCGAAAGUGUGGGUAUCAAACAGGAUUAGAUACCCUGGUAGUCCACACAGUAAACGAUGAAUACUCGCUGUUUGCGAUAUACAGCAAGCGGCCAAGCGAAAGCAUUAAGUAUUCCACCUGGGGAGUACGCCGGCAACGGUGAAACUCAAAGGAAUUGACGGGGGCCCGCACAAGCGGAGGAACAUGUGGUUUAAUUCGAUGAUACGCGAGGAACCUUACCCGGGCUUAAAUUGCAACUGACGGAUUUGGAAACAGAUCUUCCUUCGGGCAGUUGUGAAGGUGCUGCAUGGUUGUCGUCAGCUCGUGCCGAGAGGUGUCGGCUUAAGUGCCAUAACGAGCGCAACCCUUAUCU
This 395-nucleotide ribosomal RNA is filed under the name Bacteroides intestinalis. Its description in RNAcentral is "bacterial SSU rRNA". It matches the Rfam family "Bacterial small subunit ribosomal RNA", at positions 708 to 1110 of the family's 1533-position model. The record is from RNAcentral. Lineage: Bacteria; Pseudomonadati; Bacteroidota; Bacteroidia; Bacteroidales; Bacteroidaceae.